GCGUGCUGCAUUACAGACAUAGAUACAGAGGUACUGCGCGCACGCAGCGCUGGAGGUGCUCAGCUCGUAGCGUGAGAGCCCACAGAUGAAAGGCACUGCUCUUUGUUACCAAACAUCAGUACUCGAGGACUGCUAGCCGCCAGCAGAGAGGUCGGUGGAGGAGUUUUACUUCGUGCCUCCACUGAAGCUUUGCAGUCCACCA
RNAcentral lists this long non-coding RNA (202 nucleotides) under Gallus gallus (chicken). RNAcentral describes it as "long non-coding RNA NONGGAT004375". Lineage: Eukaryota; Metazoa; Chordata; Aves; Galliformes; Phasianidae. The record is from RNAcentral.